Molecule: long non-coding RNA, 386 nt
Organism: Bufo gargarizans (Asiatic toad)
Lineage: Eukaryota; Metazoa; Chordata; Amphibia; Anura; Bufonidae
Exons: 4
Source: RefSeq, a predicted model, not a curated record
CGCGUUCGGACACAGAUUCUGUGAUCCAGUGCCGGAGCCACAUUGUAGCAGCAUUAAGGAAACGCAUUUAACUAAAGAAAAAAAUACCGGGUAUAAUGACGCCAUGGAUACAGAGGGCAUAUCACUUCAUGUAUUCCUCAUAUUCAAGAGGGGAAGGAAACUAUGGACAAGCUUGUCCCUGAUGUUUGGGCCUCUCCUAUAUGUGACACUGGGAUAAGGUGGCAGAACAGCUCUUAGUUGGUCAUCGCUGAUCCCUUGAUAAAGAUCGUUUGUCGACCGAAACCUUGGGACUAAUCAUAUGGCCCUUCAUUACAUUACGUAGUCUGGACAAAGAAUAAAUACAGAAUUAUGUAAUUAUACAUUAAAAAUAUCACUUACAAAAGAAA